AGGGGCGUAGUUUAAUGGUAGAAUAGAGCUCUCCAAAAGCUUUGAUGAAGGUCCGAUUCCUUCCGCCCCUG
This 71-nucleotide transfer RNA is filed under the name Candidatus Woesebacteria bacterium. Its description in RNAcentral is "tRNA-Trp". It matches the Rfam family "tRNA". From Rfam's summary of the family: Transfer RNA (tRNA) molecules are approximately 80 nucleotides in length. Their secondary structure includes four short double-helical elements and three loops (D, anti-codon, and T loops). Lineage: Bacteria; Candidatus Woeseibacteriota. The record is from RNAcentral.